RNAcentral lists this ribosomal RNA (638 nucleotides) under uncultured bacterium. Its description in RNAcentral is "bacterial SSU rRNA". It matches the Rfam family "Bacterial small subunit ribosomal RNA", at positions 64 to 734 of the family's 1533-position model. The record is from RNAcentral.
GAACGAGCUGUGAGAUCUUCGGAUGGAUACACUUAGUGGCGGACGGGUGAGUAACGCGUGGGUACCUGCCUCACACUGGGGGAUAACAGUUAGAAAUAGCUGCUAAUACCGCAUAAGUCCGCAUGGAAAAAACUCCGGUGGUGUGAGAUGGACCCGCGUCUGAUUAGCCAGUUGGCGGGGUAACGGCCCACCAAAGCGACGAUCAGUAGCCGGCCUGAGAGGGUGAACGGCCACAUUGGGACUGAGACACGGCCCAAACUCCUACGGGAGGCAGCAGUGGGGAAUAUUGCACAAUGGGGGAAACCCUGAUGCAGCGACGCCGCGUGAGUGAAGAAGUAUUUCGGUAUGUAAAGCUCUAUCAGCAGGGAAGAAGUGACGGUACCUGAAUAAGAAGCCCCGGCUAACUACGUGCCAGCAGCCGCGGUAAUACGUAGGGGGCAAGCGUUAUCCGGAUUUACUGGGUGUAAAGGGAGCGUAGACGGCAAGGCAAGUCUGAAGUGAAAGCCCGGUGCUUAACGCCGGGACUGCUUUGGAAACUGUUUGGCUGGAGUGCCGGAGAGGUAAGCGGAAUUCCUAGUGUAGCGGUGAAAUGCGUAGAUAUUAGGAAGAACACCAGUGGCGAAGGCGGCUUACUGGAC